GACGAACGCUGGCGGCGUGCUUAACACAUGCAAGUCGAACGGAAAGGCCCUGCUUUUGUGGGGUGCUCGAGUGGCGAACGGGUGAGUAACACGUGAGUAACCUGCCCUUGACUUUGGGAUAACUUCAGGAAACUGGGGCUAAUACCGGAUAGGAGCUCCUGCUGCAUGGUGGGGGUUGGAAAGUUUCGGCGGUUGGGGAUGGACUCGCGGCUUAUCAGCUUGUUGGUGGGGUAGUGGCUUACCAAGGCUUUGACGGGUAGCCGGCCUGAGAGGGUGACCGGCCACAUUGGGACUGGGAAACGGCCCGGACUCCUACGGGAGGCAGCAGUGGGGAAUAUUGCACAAUGGGCGGAAGCCUGAUGCAGCAACGCCGCGUGCGGGAUGACGGCCUUCGGGUUGUAAACCGCUUUCGCCUGUGACGAAGCGUGAGUGACGGUAAUGGGUAAAGAAGCACCGGCUAACUACGUG
This 468-nucleotide ribosomal RNA is filed under the name uncultured bacterium. Its description in RNAcentral is "partial 16S ribosomal RNA". It matches the Rfam family "Bacterial small subunit ribosomal RNA", at positions 28 to 507 of the family's 1533-position model. The record is from RNAcentral.